AGAGAGAGACAUGCGCGCAUAUCAAUAAGCGGAGGAAAAGAAACUAACAAGGAUUCCCCUAGUAACGGCGAGUGAAGCGGGAAGAGCUCAAAUUUGAAAUCUUAAAGGGUUUCCCUUUACGAAUUGUAGUUUAAAGAAGUGUUUUCUGUUGAGGUUUUGGUAAAAGUUCUUUGGAAUAGGACAUCAUAGAGGGUGAGAAUCCCGUAUUUGACCUUUACUUUCAACUUUGUGAUACACUUUCAAAGAGUCGGAUUGUUUGGGAAUGCAGUCCAAAAUGGGUGGUAAAUUUCAUCUAAAGCUAAAUAGUGGCGAGAGACCGAUAGCGAACAAGUACCGUGAGGGAAAGAUGAAAAGAACUUUGAAAAGAGAGUUAAACAGUACGUGAAAUUGUCAAAAGGGAAGCGUUUGACACCAGUGUUGUUUUUCUGAAAAUCAAUUAAAGAACUGUUUAUGCUAAGCUGUUUAGACUUUAUCAGCUAUCUGUUUAGUUUUGAGCUUUUCUUUAAUGCACUUUUCAGUUAACAAGUCAACAUCAAUUUCUUUUGCUGUAAAAAAGCUUGAGGAAGGUGGCUUGAGAUUCGUCUUAAGUGUUUAUAGCCUCUUGCCUAUGCAGUCGGAGAGAUUGAGGUCUGCAGCGUAGAUCCUUCGGGGCUAAAUGCAUUUGUGCUAAGUUAUAGCAUUUUAUAGACAACUUGUUGACUAUGAUUUGUCUUGUAGCUUACUCGCUUAUGUUAUUUUACCUACGCUUAGGAUGUUGAGCGCAUGUCUCUCUCU
This 774-nucleotide ribosomal RNA is filed under the name uncultured Neocallimastigales. RNAcentral describes it as "partial large subunit ribosomal RNA". It matches the Rfam family "Eukaryotic large subunit ribosomal RNA", at positions 23 to 616 of the family's 3401-position model. The record is from RNAcentral. Lineage: Eukaryota; Fungi; Neocallimastigomycota; Neocallimastigomycetes; Neocallimastigales.